UGCCCUGAAAAAGCAAACGAAAAAAAGUACAACUUUCAACAACGGAUCUCUUGGCUCUCGCAUCGAUGAAGAACGCAGCGAAAUGCGAUAAGUAAUGUGAAUUGCAGAUUUUCAGUGAAUCAUCGAAUCUUUGAACGCACCUUGCACCCCUUGGUAUUCCGAGGGGCAUGCCUGUUUGAGUGUCAUUAAAUCCUCAACCGCGCCGAUCGAUUUCGGUGGGGCUUGGACUUUGGAGCGUGCUGGCGAAGGUCGGCUCCUCUUUAAAUGCAUCAGCGGAAGAAACCUUUGU
Molecule: unclassified non-coding RNA, 289 nt
Filed under: uncultured Tylospora
Lineage: Eukaryota; Fungi; Basidiomycota; Agaricomycetes; Atheliales; Atheliaceae
Description: sequence contains ITS1, 5.8S rRNA gene and ITS2
Rfam family: 5.8S ribosomal RNA (bases 31-185)
About the family: 5.8S ribosomal RNA (5.8S rRNA) is a component of the large subunit of the eukaryotic ribosome. It is transcribed by RNA polymerase I as part of the 45S precursor that also contains 18S and 28S rRNA.
Source: RNAcentral